Molecule: long non-coding RNA, 2287 nt
Organism: Trachemys scripta elegans
Lineage: Eukaryota; Metazoa; Chordata; Testudines; Emydidae
Exons: 3
Source: RefSeq, a predicted model, not a curated record
CAGAAAGAAUUAAAGGGAGCGAUUGAAGUCUCUAAUAGGAUGGCAGAAGCAAACAAGAGGUAAGCCUCACAGGAGGAGGAGAGCAGACCUGAGCCUCACAGACUUUUUUUGAAGGAGGGACGAAAGCAAAGUGAGGGGGCAGAUCUUUUGUGCUGGGAGAUGCCUGUGGAUAUUUUUAUAGGAAAGCACAUUCUACAUUUCUACAGGGAGAGAGCAGACCCCCAGGGAUUUCUCUCACCACGAUCCUAACUCCAAAUUUGGGAGUGCCUGCCAAAAGUGGCCUCCCCGAAGACUCUUUCCUGUGGCAAAGUCAGGCGGCAGACAUUACUGCAGAAUUCCAGGGGCAGAUAUCAGAGGAAAGCAUGCUGGAAAAGGCCUUUUAAAAUGAGUGAAUCCACAACUGAAAGUUUAGUAGUGACCUGGAAGUCAAAGAGAAGCUGUUGGGAAACGGAUCUUAAAUCCUCACCUUUGAGGAUCAAGAGUCUAGAUGGAAGACAUCCAAAGAGUUUCAGAGCUGUAGACUGACACAUAAUGUAUUCAAGGGCGACUUGAAGAAAGCCAGAAAACAAAGGAAGAGAAGGAGACACUACAAGCAGAAGGGAGGAGGGGCAGAGCAACGGAAAUAGGACUAUGGGAGAAAUAUACUUCCACGUUUCACAUUUCCUUGCAGGAUGUGUGUGGCUAAAACAGAAAUGAACACCCAUGCAUCAUCACAAAGAACUGGAUGCAUACACAAUAUCACACACAGCAAGCACAAUCCUUUUACGUUUUAACACCAUGUCCUUGAUCACAAGGAUGGACCAACAGCAGAGAGAAGGUGGAGUAUGCACAUAGCUAAUAAGAUAGCAUACAGCAUGAGUGUUGCGCAUGCUGUUUGUUAUUUUCAAUAGAAAGCUACAUGGGCAGCUUCCAUUGUACCCAUGUAGAUCUGGAAGAAAGGAAGAACUUAUGAAGUUACUGGGUUUUUACCCCAGCUCAGAGAUCGUGCUCUUUCUGAAACUUUUCUCAGGGCAGAAGCGAUGCAUAUUUUAUGCAUUUUCUCUUUUAAUGCAGCAGUGCAGGCCUCUCUUAUUUUUCUCAGCAGCUUCAAAUCAAACAGUUGAUCAAAAGUCCAUGAAAGGCUUUGUGCUUAACUGCAAGCAUAUGGUCACCUGCUUAAAGUUAAGCUCUUGCUUAAGUACUUUGGAUCAGGACCUAAACGUACAACACACUCUCUGAGUGAAAAUUAGUGUCCUCUCGAGAUCACCACUAGCAAGCAAACAAACUGCUUUGCCUGGUGUUCAAAAUCAUCCUUUAUUGUCUAUUGCAAGAGUGCAUUUUUUAAAGCAUCAUAUUAACUCCUAACUCAAAACAACAAAGAUGCUUACUGUAUAUAAUACAUUUCCGCUGUUGUGAAAAUAAAUGUUUUAUUCCAGGCCCCAUGAAUGGGAUACCUGAUUUGUGGCAAUAUAGCAUCUCUCUCAUUGCAAAAUAAAAGAACAAAGCAUUUGCAAAAAUUAAAUAUGCCAGCCCAGUGGCAUUAGAGAGCAUACUGCCUGGCAGAAAAUACAGCUUCUGCAGCAACUUUGGGAUCCCUAAUUUUUAACACAGUGAAGAUCAGACAUAGUGAAUAUUGAUAAUAUACCAGAUCAUCAGUUGAUGUAAAUCAAGGUGGCUCUGCUGAGUGCAAUAAACCUAUGCUGAUUUACACCACUGAAAAACCUGACCCAGAAUUCUUGGUUUUCAGGAAAGGGAGAAGGGCAUGAGCUACUCUACCCCAAAUAUGCCCUGCCGGCCAAUUUGUGAUGUGUCAUGGACUCAAUAUGUCGUUUCAGAGGUGGUUCAAUCUCCUAUCCUUUCAGUUCAGGGGAGGAGUUUUGGGAGCUAGUGGUAAACCUAAUGUGAAAAGAGAGGUAUUAGCACAAGCAGCAAUUCCUAAAAUGUCCACCGCAAAACAGAAGUGGGGACGGCAAAUCUGAUAACAGGAAAUACGAACACUAUGAUAUGUUAAUAUACUGUAAUACAUUGCUACUGAAAAACACGUUAAAUAUAAAUAUACAUACAUCCAAUGAAAAUAAAGUAUUUGUUAAUCUCCAGCACAUCUAAUCCCACCUGCAAACUGUGACUGUAAAAUGUAAACUAUAUGACUUAAAGAACUGGAAACUAUUCCUCUAAAAUUCAAAUUAGGAUACUUGUAAUUUUUGUCCCUCAGAUAAAAUUUAUCCUGUCAAACACUAACCUGUAAAUACAUGAUAAAUCAUUAAAGAUCCAAACAAAUAGCAACCUGAGAGUGGUAUUAUGUAUUAAA